CUUGCUUUGAUGCUCAGUUCUAAUACCAAAUGUUAGGAAUACAAACUUUUCAUAUCGAAAAACAAAACAAGCUAGAAAAAAAAAAUGGCAAAAUUAAUGUGUAACCUAGACCUUCAAAUUAUUAUUGGUAUUUCUAGGAACCAACAAGCUCCCAAAUACAAUCCAAGUUGUAAAAUAAUUUUAUAGAUUACUUGAGCGUUUAAAUAGAAAAAUAUUCUACCGGUUAUCUUCAAAGCUGAAAGAGCACUUUUGCUCUAUAUCACCCACUAAUUUCUCCAACUUUCCACUACUACUUCGACUAAUUCCAAAAAGAGGAAAACAUACAAUUAUAUCUGAAAAAAAAAAAUACAAAGUAGAAGUAAAAACCGUAUCAGUCUAUUGUCUAUACAGUGAAUAAACAGAUAGAGAAAAAAACAAAACCAAAAUAACCAUGUAGCUUCUUAAAUAAUGAAAUAUUGAUACGAAACGAGAACUGCGUAGCAUGUCAAAGAAGCAUAUGAAAGAACGAAGCAGAAAGAGACGGAGAAAUACCUGUUAUUGGCACGUUACAGAAUUACAAUAUUUUAAUCUCAUCCUCCUGCUUUCAGCAAACAAAAGACGGGAUUUCUUCAUCACCAACCAAUCGAAUCAGUUAGCAAAGUAAUGUAGAUUUUUCAUCCAGAAACGCCGAUCACAAUGUUUCAGAUUUAGUGAGAACAAAAGAUCCCAACGCUGUAAUGUUUCAGUGCGUAAUUAGGUCGAACAGAUUGAGUGCAAUAAUCGAAUGAAUGCUGGAUGCCGGGAAAAAUUUUGUUUCUAGUGGAUCAGUGCUUGUGGCUUUCAGGGAAAGGCCCAGUAUCGUUGGGAGCAAAAGCUAAU
This 858-nucleotide long non-coding RNA is filed under the name Olea europaea (common olive). RNAcentral's name for it is "long non-coding RNA (OEUR_LNC010585)". Lineage: Eukaryota; Viridiplantae; Streptophyta; Magnoliopsida; Lamiales; Oleaceae. The record is from RNAcentral.